RNAcentral lists this ribosomal RNA (473 nucleotides) under uncultured bacterium. RNAcentral's name for it is "partial 16S ribosomal RNA". It matches the Rfam family "Bacterial small subunit ribosomal RNA", at positions 28 to 507 of the family's 1533-position model. The record is from RNAcentral.
GAUAAACGCUGGCGGCGCACAUAAGACAUGCAAGUUGAACGGACUUAAUCGAAAUAUUUAUAUUUUGAAGCGGGUAGUGGCGGACUGGUGAGUAACGCGUAAGGAACCUGCCUAUUAGAGGGGAGUAACAGUGAGAAAUCAUUGCUAAUACCGCAUAUGCCAUAGAUAUGACAUGAUAACAGUGGGAAAGGAGCAAUCCGCUAAUGGAUGGCCUUGCGUCUGAUUAGAUAGUUGGUGGGGUAACGGCCUACCAAGUCGACGAUCAGUAGCCGGACUGAGAGGUUGAACGGCCACCUCGGGACUGAGAUACGGCCCAGACUCCUACGGGAGGCAGCAGUCGGGAAUAUUGCGCAAUGGAGGAAACUCUGACGCAGUGACGCCGCGUAUAGGACGAAGGUUUUCGGAGUGUAAAAUAUUGUCGUUAGGGAAGAGAAAGGACAGUACCUACGGAGGAAGCUCCGGCUAACUACGUG